AUGUGUACGGAUAGUAGAGCCGUUAACAACAUCACCGUAAGGUAUAGAUUCCAUAUUCCCCGUCUGGAUGAUAUGUUGGAUCAGCUUAGUGGAGCAAGAGUGUUCACAAAGCUAGAUUUAAGAAGUGGAUAUCAUCAAAUCCGUAUAAGACCCGGGGAUGAAUGGAAGACCGCCUACAAGACAAAGGAAGGGUUGUUUGAAUGGCUAGUCAUGCCAUUUGGACUCUCAAAUGCACCAAGUACCUUUAUGCACUUAAUGAAUCAAGUCCUUAGACCCUUCUUAUCCCACUUUGUUGUGGUCUAUUUCGAUGACAUCUUGAUCUAUAGCAAGGAUGAGGAUGAACACUUUGAUCACAUUCGGAAGGUGCUAGAAGUACUAAGGGAAAAUGAGCUCUACGUCAACUUGAAGAAAUUUGUUUUCCUGCAAACACAACUUCUUUUCCUAGGAUUCGUCAUAACAUGUGACGGCAUUCGUGUUGAUGAUUCUAAGGUUGAAGCAAUCCGAGAAUGGCCAACUCCUAAGACCAUUUCUGAGGUAAGAAGCUUUCAUGGCCUUGCAACUUUCUAUAGGCGAUUUGUUAAGAAUUUCAGCACUAUCAUGGCACCAAUUACUGAGUGGUUGAAGAAAGGAAAGUUCCAAUGGGCAGAAGCAGCUGAAGCUAGCUUCAAUGAGAUUAAACAAAAGCUAUCACAAGCUCCUGUCUUGGUACUACCUGAUUUCAACAAGACUUUUGAGUUGGAGUGUGAUGCAAGUGGAGUAGGCAUUGGAGCUGUCCUAUCUCAAGAAAGGAAGCCCAUUGCUUUCUUUAGUGAGAAGUUAAGUGAAGCUAGACAGAAAUGGAGUACCUAUCAGCAAGAAUUAUACGCCGUUUUCAGAGCGUUGAAAACUUGGGAAGUCUAUUUGCCGCCUAAAGAAUUCAUUGUUUAUAGCGACCAUCAAUCCUUGAAGCAUUUUACAAAUCAAAAGCAUGUUGACCGCAUGCUAGCAAGAUGGGCAUCAUAUCUUGAGAGGUUUAACUAUCUCAUCAUGCAAAAAUCUAGAAUAACUAACAGAGUGGCCGAUGCUUUGAGUCGUCGUGCAUGCCUCUUGAUUUCUUUUGAAGCUGAACUUCUGGGCAUGGGUCAAAUAAAGGAGUUGUAUGAGGGUGACGAAGAGUUUGGCCAUGUUUGGGUAAAGCACGCAAGGGACCAACCAUUAGGUGAUGACUAUUUGAUGCAAGAUGCAUAUCUCUUCAAAAAUGAUCGUUUGUGCAUUCCAAGAAGUUCUAUACGUGACAAGCUGGUUAGAGAGCUCCAUUCAAGUGAUCUUAGUGGCCAUGUUCGUUCAACGGUGCCCCGUAUGUCAGACCUACAAAGGCCAAGUCCAGAACACAGGAUUAUACAUGCCUUUGCCUGUUCCUGUUGUUCCAUGGAAGGACAUUUCUAUGGACUUCGUCUUGGGCUUGCCAAGAACAAGACGAGGAAGUGA
RNAcentral lists this ribosomal RNA (1467 nucleotides) under Triticum aestivum (bread wheat). RNAcentral describes it as "partial small subunit ribosomal RNA". The record is from RNAcentral. Lineage: Eukaryota; Viridiplantae; Streptophyta; Magnoliopsida; Poales; Poaceae.